This 497-nucleotide ribosomal RNA is filed under the name uncultured bacterium. RNAcentral's name for it is "partial 16S ribosomal RNA". It matches the Rfam family "Bacterial small subunit ribosomal RNA", at positions 28 to 507 of the family's 1533-position model. The record is from RNAcentral.
GAUGAACGCUGGCGGCGUGCCUAAUACAUGCCAGUCGAGCGAACGGACGAGAAGCUUGCUUCCCUGAUGUUAACGGCGGGCGGGUGAGUAACACGUGGAUAACCAACCUAUAAGACUGGGAUAACUUCCGGAAAACGGCGCUAAUGCCGGAUGAUAUUUUGAACCGCAUGGUUCAAAAGUGAAAGACGGUCUUGCUGUCACUUAUAGAUGGAACCGCGCUGAAUUAGCUAGUUGGUAAGGUAACGUCUUCCCAAGGCAAGGAUGCAUAGCCGACCCGAGAGGGUGAUCGACCACACUGGAGCUGAGACUCGGUCGAGACUCCGAGGGGAGGACGCAGUCGGGAAUCUUACGCGAUGGGCGAAAGGGUGACAGAGCAACACCGCGGGAGGGAUGAAGGUGCUCGGAUGGUAAAGCUCUGAUAGUAGGGAGGUUCAUAUGUGUAAUUGACUGUGAAGAUAUUGACGGUACCGAAUGAGAAAGCCACGGCUAACUACGUG